GGACUACCCGGGUAUCUAAUCCCGUUCGCUCCCCCAGCUUUCGCGCCUCAGCGUCAAGAGUGCCCCAGGAGACCGCCUUCGCCACUGGUGUUCCUACCGAUAUCUACGCAUUUCACCGCUACACCGGUAAUUCCAUCUCCCCCUAGCACCUUCAAGACCGCCAGUAUCCACCGACCCUCCGGGGUUGAGCCCCGGGCUUUCACAGCGGACUUGGCGACCCGCCUACGCGCGCUUUACGCCCAGUAACUUCGGACAACGCUCGCCCCCUCCGUAUUACCGCGGCUGCUGGCAC
Molecule: ribosomal RNA, 292 nt
Filed under: uncultured bacterium
Lineage: Bacteria
Description: partial 16S ribosomal RNA
Source: RNAcentral